Molecule: long non-coding RNA, 433 nt
Filed under: Bos taurus (domestic cattle)
Lineage: Eukaryota; Metazoa; Chordata; Mammalia; Artiodactyla; Bovidae
Description: long non-coding RNA NONBTAT000263
Source: RNAcentral
ACUUAUACUGCCAAUGUGAAUGCCAGAUUACAAAGUUGAGACAACUUGUAUCUCAAAACAGUGAAUCUAUCAAGGGAGUAGUAGGACAGCUUAACCAGUAGGAGACCUUUAAAUACUUAACCUCUUUGCCACAAACCAAAAAUCAUGGCGCGUGACAAACAAAACACUGUCAGAUUAUGAAAUUCACUAAAAAAGAAUUCAAAUGAUGUGAGGAUGCUCCAUCAUUCCCUGUGAUUAUUUUUGACACUCUGUCUGUCACACUGUGUCCUUGGAAUGUAGCAAAUAACAUUUUAAAUAUCAACAAAAUCUGGUUCCCUGUCUCUAAUAAACCUGAAAACAGUGUAAAUUCCUAGCAUGUAAAUCAUGCAAAUAUCCAUUAUUACUGUUAAUUCUCUAAAGUGACAUAUUGGACUCUCAAAAAAGUCAGUAACAC